RNAcentral lists this ribosomal RNA (443 nucleotides) under Triticum sp. JD-2016. Its description in RNAcentral is "eukaryotic LSU rRNA". The stretch from base 301 to 443 matches the Rfam family "Eukaryotic large subunit ribosomal RNA", at positions 1 to 143 of the family's 3401-position model. Lineage: Eukaryota; Viridiplantae; Streptophyta; Magnoliopsida; Poales; Poaceae. The record is from RNAcentral.
AAUCCCGCGAACCAUCGAGUCUUUGAACGCAAGUUGCGCCCGAGGCCACUCGGCCGAGGGCACGCCUGCCUGGGCGUCACGCCAAAACACGCUCCCAACCACUCUCAACGGGAAUCGGGAUGCGGCAUCUGGUCCCUCGUCUCUCAAGGGACGGUGGACCGAAGAUUGGGCUGCCGGCGUACCGCGCCGGACACAGCGCAUGGUGGGCGUCCUCGCUUUAUCAAUGCAGUGCAUCCGGCGCGCAGCUGGCAUUAUGGCCUUUGAACGACCCAACAAACGAAGCGCACGUCGCUUCGACCGCGACCCCAGGUCAGGCGGGACUACCCGCUGAGUUUAAGCAUAUAAAUAAGCGGAGGAGAAGAAACUUACAAGGAUUCCCCUAGUAACGGCGAGCGAACCGGGAGCAGCCCAGCUUGAGAAUCGGGCGGCUGUGCCGUCCGAAU